UACAGAGGGUGCGAGCGUUGUUCGGAAUUACUGGGCGUAAGCGUGCGCAGGCGGUUUUGUAAGUCAGAUGUGAAAUCCCCGGGCUCAACCUGGGAACUGCGUUUGAAACUACAAGGCUAGAGUGUAGCAGAGGGGGGGUAGAAUUCCACGUGUAGCAGUGAAAUGCGUAGAGAUGUGGAGGAAUACCAAUGGCGAAGGCAGCCCCCUGGGUUAACACUGACG
RNAcentral lists this ribosomal RNA (222 nucleotides) under uncultured bacterium. Its description in RNAcentral is "partial 16S ribosomal RNA". It matches the Rfam family "Bacterial small subunit ribosomal RNA", at positions 524 to 745 of the family's 1533-position model. The record is from RNAcentral.